UACGUAGGGUGCGAGCGUUGUCCGGAAUUAUUGGGCGUAAAGGGCUCGUAGGCGGUUUGUCGCGUCGGGAGUGAAAACCAGGUGCUUAACACCUGGCUUGCUUUCGAUACGGGCAGACUAGAGGUAUUCAGGGGAGAACGGAAUUCCUGGUGUAGCGGUGAAAUGCGCAGAUAUCAGGAGGAACACCGGUGGCGAAGGCGGUUCUCUGGGAAUGACCUGACGCUGAGGAGCGAAAGUGUGGUGAGCGAACAGG
RNAcentral lists this ribosomal RNA (253 nucleotides) under uncultured bacterium. RNAcentral describes it as "partial 16S ribosomal RNA". It matches the Rfam family "Bacterial small subunit ribosomal RNA", at positions 524 to 776 of the family's 1533-position model. The record is from RNAcentral.